RNAcentral lists this ribosomal RNA (379 nucleotides) under Cyprogenia aberti (western fanshell). RNAcentral's name for it is "partial 16S ribosomal RNA". It matches the Rfam family "Bacterial large subunit ribosomal RNA", at positions 1925 to 2542 of the family's 2925-position model. The record is from RNAcentral. Lineage: Eukaryota; Metazoa; Mollusca; Bivalvia; Unionida; Unionidae.
AAACGGCNGCGUUAGCGUGAGCGUGCUAAGGUAGCGUAAUAAAUAGCCUUUUAAUUGGAGGCCAGUGAAUGGCAAGACUAGGGAUAUCUAUGCCCUGUAUGGCAAAAAAACUUUUCGUCUGAGUGAAAAGACUCGAGUAACAAAGAAAGACGAAAAGACCCCGCGGAACUUUACCUUUUCUAGUCUUAACACACUUAAAAACACUAAAACAAAAGGUUUGAUUGGGGCAAUCUCGGAACCGCCCAAACUUCCGACCUAUAUAUAAAACCAUACAAAACUUAAUUAGGACAAAAAAGAAGUUACCCCGGGGAUAACAGCGUAAUCUAAUUUGAGAGUACACAUCGAAAAUUGGGUUUGCGACCUCGAUGUUGGCUUAAGG